RNAcentral lists this ribosomal RNA (372 nucleotides) under uncultured organism. Its description in RNAcentral is "partial 16S ribosomal RNA". It matches the Rfam family "Bacterial small subunit ribosomal RNA", at positions 527 to 896 of the family's 1533-position model. The record is from RNAcentral.
GUAGGUGGCAAGCGUUGUCCGGAAUUAUUGGGCGUAAAGCGCGCGCAGGUGGUUCUUUAAGUCUGAUGUGAAAGCCCCCGGCUCAACCGGGGAGGGUCAUUGGAAACUGGGGAACUUGAGUGCAGGAGAGGAAAGUGGAAUUCCACGUGUAGCGGUGAAAUGCGUAGAUAUGUGGAGGAACACCAGUGGCGAAGGCGACUUUCUGGCCUGUAACUGACACUGAGGCGCGAAAGCGUGGGUAGCAAACAGGAUUAGAUACCCUGGUAGUCCACGCCGUAAACGAUGAGUGCUGAGUGUUGGGGGGGUUUCCCGCCCCUCAGUGCUGCAGCUAACGCAUUAAGCACUCCGCCUGGGGAUACGGUCGCAAGACUG